Long non-coding RNA from Hippocampus zosterae (dwarf seahorse), 827 nucleotides. RefSeq lists it as uncharacterized. The record is from RefSeq and is a predicted model, not a curated record. NCBI's taxonomy places the organism in Eukaryota, Metazoa, Chordata, Actinopteri, Syngnathiformes, Syngnathidae. The transcript is spliced from 3 exons.
CGCUCGGCAAUUGCAGCUUGCGACCAGAGCUGCUGAAAUAUAUCUUUUGUUUGUUAUUACGGAAUUCCGAUUCAAAGUUUGUUUCAUGUGCAAUUGAAUGGGAAUUUGCAGUGACAUGUGAAUAAUUUAAAAACGGUUGUUCGUGCCAUUAACACGCUGCAAAAGUGCGUCCCAUGUCGCCGAGUCAGGUCUCCAUGAAGGUCCACUUGCAUCGGGGCCAAAGGAGGCUAUAACUGAAAAGACCCGUCGUCUUUUUUCCAUAUUGCUUACCCAUGUUUAGUGUCGCAGGGAGCUGGAGCCUCUUCCAGCUGACUUGACCUUAGAAGUGCCCGCCAAUGAAUCACAGGAACAGGGGCAUACACGGAAACAAGCAACCUUCCAUGUCAACCAGACGAAAGCCCCCUUGACCACUUUUAUUCCAUCCACCCGCCCGUCUUCACUUGGGUGAUCAGGAGCCUCUAUUCCAGCUGACCUUAUGCAAAAGGUAAGGUACACCCAGGACUGGUCGCCAGCCCUUCCUUCACAGGGCAUGUGUACAUUUAUGAUGAAUCUUCACCAAUAAUAAUUAUAAUAAUCAUAAUAAUACAUUUUAUUUAUAAGUGCCUUUCAAAAUACCCAAGGACACUUUACAAUCAAAAAAGAACAAUACAACCACAGAUAAAAUAAUAAAUAAUAAAAAGCGAUUAGUUUAAACUGUAUAUGCAAUUUUAAAAUGGUGGGUUUUGUGAUGAGUUUUGAAUAUGGGAAGAGAGACAAUAUUUCGGAUGUCGGGUGGGAGUGAGUUCCAGAGUUCACUAAACCUAAUCGGCAUCCACUCUGCCCCAACC